GACGAACGCUGGCGGCGUGCUUAACACAUGCAAGUCGAACGGAAAGGCCCUGCUUUUGUGGGGUGCUCGAGUGGCGAACGGGUGAGUAACACGUGAGUAACCUGCCCUUUACUUUGGGAUAACUUCAGGAAACUGGGACUAAUACCGGAUAGGAGCUCCUGCUGCAUGGGGGGGGUUGGAAAGUUUCGGCGGUUGGGGAUGGACUCGCGGCUUAUCAGCUUGUUGGUGGGGUAGUGGCUUACCAAGGCUUUGACGGGUAGCCGGCCUGGGAGGGUGACCGGCCACAUUGGGACUGAGAUACGGCCCAGACUCCUACGGGAGGCAGCAGUGGGGAAUAUUGCACAAUGGGCGGAAGCCUGAUGAAGCAACGCCGCGUGCGGGAUGACGGCCUUCGGGUUGUAACCCGCUUUCGCCUGUGACGAAGCGUGAGUGACGGUAAUGGGUAAAGAAGCACCGGCUAACUACGUG
This 468-nucleotide ribosomal RNA is filed under the name uncultured bacterium. Its description in RNAcentral is "partial 16S ribosomal RNA". It matches the Rfam family "Bacterial small subunit ribosomal RNA", at positions 28 to 507 of the family's 1533-position model. The record is from RNAcentral.